This is a long non-coding RNA of Peromyscus leucopus (white-footed mouse), 377 nucleotides long. RefSeq lists it as uncharacterized. The record is from RefSeq and is a predicted model, not a curated record. The transcript has 3 exons. Lineage: Eukaryota; Metazoa; Chordata; Mammalia; Rodentia; Cricetidae.
UCCGGGUUGGGUCCCGGCGCGCCUGUAGAGGGAGACCGAGCGAGCCAAUCCGGGGCGGCGGGGAGGGGCUGGGUCUAGAGCGCCGAGCUGUCAUCCGCGUUCCUUGUCAGCUCACGAGUGAUCCGGGAGAGAGAUUGGGCUAUCCUAUUAUUUGAAGCAGAAAACAAGCCGUCCUGUCACUGACAGCCUCGGAAACUGUGCCUCUGUGUUGAGGUCAGAAGAGGGUAUCAAAUUCCCUGGAACUGGAGAUGGUUGUUAUCAACAGGUGGGUGCUCAGAACAAGAGCAACACGUGCCCUUAACCUCUGCCAUCUCUCCAGCCCUAUAAUAAGUUUCUGUGAGUUUGAGGCCACCUUGGCCUCUAUGGUGAGUCCCAGG